CCUACGGGGGGCAGCAGUCGGGAAUAUUGCGCAAUGGAGGAAACUCUGACGCAGUGACGCCGCGUGCAGGAAGAAGGUUUUCGGAUUGUAAACUGCUUUAGACAGGGAAGAAAAAAGACAGUACCUGUAGAAAAAGCAUCGGCUAACUCCGUGCCAGCAGCCGCGGUAAUACGGAGGAUGCGAGCGUUAUCCGGAUUUAUUGGGUUUAAAGGGUGCGUAGGCGGACUGUUAAGUCAGCGGUAAAAGCCCGGGGCUCAACCCCGGCGAGCCGUUGAAACUGGCUGUCUUGAGAUGUCGAGAGGUAU
This 305-nucleotide ribosomal RNA is filed under the name uncultured bacterium. Its description in RNAcentral is "bacterial SSU rRNA". It matches the Rfam family "Bacterial small subunit ribosomal RNA", at positions 338 to 660 of the family's 1533-position model. The record is from RNAcentral.